Molecule: long non-coding RNA, 1021 nt
Organism: Numida meleagris (helmeted guineafowl)
Lineage: Eukaryota; Metazoa; Chordata; Aves; Galliformes; Numididae
Exons: 3
Source: RefSeq, a predicted model, not a curated record
UGACAUGAUCACCCACAACAUCCUUCUCUCUAAAUUGGAAAGAUCUGUUCUAGCAGUGUGGUUGAUAUAUGAGGCCAAGACUGAGAGGAGGUCGUCACCACAACCUGUGCCUCACUGUAGAUUCAUCAGUGAAUUCAUCAAAAUAACAGCUCAGUAGCGAGGUUUGAUGUAUGAAGAAGCUCUGUUCAUUCUCUGUGGCCUCUGAAAAAGCAGUAAUUCACAUUCUAGAAGUCACAGCUUUCUUAGUAAAGACCCAAUAGGGCAAGUUUGCCUGCAACAAUGUGGAGAAGUGUCUAAGCUGUGAAUCCUGUGAGUGAAAUGGAUCAGCGAAUUUCACCCAUACGCUCUGUGCAUGUCAGCUCUCAUCUUUAUCUCAAGAAUAGUAGGAUGUGAGUAUCCCCAGAAGUGACAAAGCACAUCACCUAGGAUGUCUCGGUUACCAUCACAAGCUGAGAAUGGGAGAUAUGAAGCACUGACCUAGGAGGGAAUGGGUAUGAAAGCAGCAAUGUGGUGAUGUGCACAGCCUACGUCCAGGGGGCCCACCAGUCCCUCGUGCUGCCCCGCUGUCCCACAGUGCAGAGAUACACACGGUGAAAACCAGUGUUCCAAGGGCACCAGUAGCUGUGGGAUGUUUGAUUCUGAUCUGAAAAGCCAAAUGGCAACAGAAGGGCUGCAGGAUCACACGUUAGCUCUGUUGUAAUCUCCUACCAAGUGCACACACAAUAGGCAGGACGUCAUUCUUUUCUUUUUCAUCCCUUCAAGCAUAGCCACAGAUCUGAGAUGCAGGCUCCUUUCCUGUAGUGUUCCUUUUAAUGUGGUCCUAUAGAAUUCAUGAUAGCCACGCACCUUACACUCUCAAUGUGAUCUUCAGGGAUCUGUGUCCAACUCAUUAAUCCCCAGUGGGUUUAACUAGAAACAACAGAAAGGAAAAUAGUUUGUUUUUUUUCUUUUGACUGCAUGAGGAGCAAAAAGCAGUUGACAAUCUUAACUAUGCUUGCUCUGCAAGCCUGGUAAGAGUGAA